AAGACUAUAUUUUCAGGGACCAUUUCUAUAGUAUGUGACUAGAGAAGUUUCUCUGAUCAUGUAGAGUACCCGAAGCCAUGAGGAGGAGCCAGAGAGUCCUCUCCUGAGCAUGAAGCUGGCUCUAGGCAUUGCUUCUGUGACUGUCUUUGGCCAUUGAUGAUCAGUUUCCUUAAAAAAAAUAAUAAUAAUUUUGGGGGCUGGGUGGUGGCACAAGUGGU
This is a small nucleolar RNA of Suncus etruscus (white-toothed pygmy shrew), 218 nucleotides long. RefSeq annotates it as small nucleolar RNA U3. The record is from RefSeq and is a predicted model, not a curated record. The transcript has a single exon. NCBI's taxonomy places the organism in Eukaryota, Metazoa, Chordata, Mammalia, Eulipotyphla, Soricidae.